Molecule: non-coding RNA, 333 nt
Organism: Nicotiana tabacum (common tobacco)
Lineage: Eukaryota; Viridiplantae; Streptophyta; Magnoliopsida; Solanales; Solanaceae
Source: RefSeq, a predicted model, not a curated record
UCUAAUUGAGAUUUUCUUCAUUAUAUUGGAUAUUUCAUUUUGACAAGUCGAUGCACCUGCACUUGUAGUAUUGGUCAACGUGCAACUGUGUAAAGUCCAUUCCUCGUAUAAAUCAUUGAUGAAACAAAGUACCACUAUUUGAUUUCUAUUUCUUUUAACUUUCUCUUUGAGAAAAGCCCAUUUCAUUGUAGGUAGAUGCUCCUCGCUAUGUGAAUGUUUUCUAGAUUUGAUGUUGAGUAGUCCAUUCCAAGUGCCCAAUGUUCUUGUGAAAUGGGAGGCUUUAUAGAGCAGUUGGAAGAACUGUUUUGCACAUAGAAUGUAAUACAGGCCAAC